GUGCCAGCAGCCGCGGUAAUACGUAGGUGGCAAGCGUUGUCCGGAUUUAUUGGGCGUAAAGCGAGCGCAGGCGGUUUCUUAAGUCUGAUGUGAAAGCCUUCGGCUCAACCGAAGAAGUGCAUCGGAAACUGGGAAACUUGAGUGCAGAAGAGGACAGUGGAACUCCAUGUGUAGCGGUGAAAUGCGUAGAUAUAUGGAAGAACACCAGUGGCGAAGGCGGCUGUCUGGUCUGUAACUGACGCUGAGGCUCGAAAGCAUGGGUAGCAAACAGGAUUAGAUACCCUGGUAGUCCAUGCCGUAAACGAUGAGUGCUAGGUGUUGGAGGGUUUCCGCCCUUCAGUGCCGCAGCUAACGCAUUAAGCACUCCGCCUGGGGAGUACGACCGCAAGGUUGAAACUCAAAGGAAUUGACGGGGGCCCGCACAAGCGGUGGAGCAUGUGGUUUAAUUCGAAGCAACGCGAAGAACCUUACCAGGUCUUGACAUCCUUUGACCACUCUAGAGAUAGAGCUUUCCCUUCGGGGACAAAGUGACAGGUGGUGCAUGGUUGUCGUCAGCUCGUGUCGUGAGAUGUUGGGUUAAGUCCCGCAACGAGCGCAACCCUUAUUACUAGUUGCCAGCAUUUAGUUGGGCACUCUAGUGAGACUGCCGGUGACAAACCGGAGGAAGGUGGGGACGACGUCAAAUCAUCAUGCCCCUUAUGACCUGGGCUACACACGUGCUACAAUGGAUGGUACAACGAGUCGCGAGACCGCGAGGUUUAGCUAAUCUCUUAAAACCAUUCUCAGUUCGGAUUGUAGGCUGCAACUCGCCUACAUGAAGUCGGAAUCGCUAGUAAUCGCGGAUCAGCAUGCCGCGGUGAAUACGUUCCCGGGCCUUGUACACACCGCCCGU
Molecule: ribosomal RNA, 892 nt
Filed under: uncultured bacterium
Lineage: Bacteria
Description: bacterial SSU rRNA
Rfam family: Bacterial small subunit ribosomal RNA
Source: RNAcentral